UGUCAUUCAUAGAGAAAUAUGUGCUAAGUGCUGGUUAAUUUUCUUCUCUGUCAUCUAUUUCUUCAGUUUCAGCAAACAUCAUGAUGUCAAUGAGAACUCACAGGUGCUGCUCCUUGGACAGGACCGGGAUCUGAAGGAAGGAGUUUAGAGAGCUUUGUUCCUACUGGAGUGGUCCACGCAAGUUGCUUCACUUCUCUGAACCUCAGUUGAGUUUAGAAAGUGUCUUCAAUGCCCCAGUUCAGCUUAAUGUAGUCCUUGGAUUGUCAUACUCUCUGCCUAGAUUAAAAACAUCUGAGUCCAAAGCAAAUGCACAGGAAAGGGAAGGAAAUGCUUACUGUUUGAAGAUCUGUACAGGGAUUGGUGGUCCAUUCUUCCAGGGUAAAGGCAUGUUACUACUGCUCCUCAACAGACUGGCAUCAUACGGAAUUGAGGUAGAAGGUAAGACUCGACUGCAGAGGCAGGGCUUGGGCACCAGACCAGAUUGAGGACUAGCUAAAACAGGGAAGAGGAGAAACCACUUCUCUGUAAGACCUGGACACCAGUUUGCUAAGUUAGUUUGCCAUUGCCAUGGCAACACCUGGAAGUUACUGUCCCUUGCCAUGGCAGUGACUCAAUGAUCUGUGUAUUAGUCUAAUACAGUUAAUGAAGACGUACAUGAGACUAGUUAAUUUAUAAAGGAGGUUUAAUGGACUCACAGUUGCACACG
RNAcentral lists this long non-coding RNA (706 nucleotides) under Macaca mulatta (Rhesus monkey). RNAcentral describes it as "lncRNA (ENSMMUG00000059697.1)". Lineage: Eukaryota; Metazoa; Chordata; Mammalia; Primates; Cercopithecidae. The record is from RNAcentral.